UUUCCUUUUUUUUUUUUUUUUUUUUAUUAUGAGUGGAUUCUAUCUUGGCCAUUACAAUAGCAACAACGACGACGCUAUGGGGAACUGCAAAACAAGCAGGGUUUUGAACGAAGAUACAAUUUUACAUGUGGCUGAAUUUAGUACCAUCGGAAAAAGAAAAACAAAUGAAGAUCAAACUGUCGUAA
Molecule: non-coding RNA, 185 nt
Filed under: Paramoeba aestuarina
Lineage: Eukaryota; Discosea; Flabellinia; Dactylopodida; Paramoebidae
Source: RNAcentral